UACGUAGGGGGCAAGCGUUGUCCGGAUUUAUUGGGCGUAAAGAGCGUGUAGGCGGCCUGGCAGGUCUGCUGUGAAAACUCGAGGCUCAACCUCGAGAUGUCGGCGGAAACCGUCUGGCUAGAGUCCGGAAGAGGAGAGUGGAAUUCCUGGUGUAGCGGUGAAAUGCGUAGAUAUCGUAAGGAAGACCAGUGGCGAAGGCGGGUCUCUGGACAGUUCCUGACGCUGAGGCACGAAGGCCAGGGGAGCAAACGGG
RNAcentral lists this ribosomal RNA (253 nucleotides) under uncultured bacterium. Its description in RNAcentral is "partial 16S ribosomal RNA". It matches the Rfam family "Bacterial small subunit ribosomal RNA", at positions 524 to 776 of the family's 1533-position model. The record is from RNAcentral.